GACGAAGGAUCCAAGCGUUAUCCGGAUUCAUUGGGUUUAAAGGGUGCGUAGGCGGGUUUAUAAGUCAGUGGUGAAAGCCGAUCGCUUAACGAUCGAACUGCCAUUGAUACUGUAGACCUAGAGUACAGAUGAUGUUGGCGGAAUAUGACAUGUAGCGGUGAAAUGCAUAGAUAUGUCAUAGAACACCGAUUGCGAAGGCAGCUGACAAAACUGUAACUGACGCUGAUGCACGAAAGUGCGGGGAUCAAACAGGAUUAGAUACCCUGGUAGUCCGCACAGUAAACGAUGAUAACUAGUUGUUUGCGAUAUACAGUAAGCGACCAAGCGAAAGCGAUAAGUUAUCCACCUGGGGAGUACGCUCGCAAGAGUGAA
This 372-nucleotide ribosomal RNA is filed under the name uncultured bacterium. RNAcentral describes it as "bacterial SSU rRNA". It matches the Rfam family "Bacterial small subunit ribosomal RNA", at positions 524 to 898 of the family's 1533-position model. The record is from RNAcentral.